UUUUUGAAAUAUAAUUUAAAGUCUAAUCUGCCCACUGAUUAAGUAUUAAAGGGCUGCAGUAUUUUGACUGUACAAAGGUAGCAUAAUAAAUAGUCUUUUAAUUGGAGACUUGUAUGAAAGAUUUGAUGAAAUAUAAACUGUCUCUUAAAAAAUUAUAUAAUUUAAUUUUUUAGUUAAAAAGCUAAAAUAUUUUUAAAAGACGAGAAGACCCUAUAGAGUUUAAUAAUUUAUAUUUUUAAAAUUUUUUAUUAGUGUUUAAAUUAAAAAAGUAAAAAUUAUUUUAUUGGGGUGAUAGAAAAAUUUAAAAAACUUUUUUUAAAAAAUUUACAUUAAUAUAUGAAUAAAUGAUCCGUAAUUUACGAUUAAAAGAAAAAAUUACCUUAGGGAUAACAGCGUAAUUUUUUUUUUUAGUUCAAAUAAGAAAAAAAGUUUGCGACCUCGAUGUUGGAUUAAGAUAAAAUUUAAAUGCAAAAGUUUAAAAAUUUUGAUCUGUUCGAUCAUUAAAAUCUUACA
Molecule: ribosomal RNA, 513 nt
Filed under: Bhutanitis thaidina
Lineage: Eukaryota; Metazoa; Arthropoda; Insecta; Lepidoptera; Papilionidae
Description: partial 16S ribosomal RNA
Rfam family: Bacterial large subunit ribosomal RNA (bases 386-513)
Source: RNAcentral